Molecule: long non-coding RNA, 478 nt
Filed under: Homo sapiens (human)
Lineage: Eukaryota; Metazoa; Chordata; Mammalia; Primates; Hominidae
Description: HSALNT0399757
Source: RNAcentral
GGCAACAGAAGCAAGAGCAAGGUUGGUGGGGGCCAGGUGGAGUCAUGGGUAUCAGACCUGCAAAAAACCUGGGAAAAUGUCUCAAAAGGCCAGUCUACAAUAGUGAUGUUAUCUGUAGGACAGAUCUUGUGACCAGUCUAUGCCUUAGCAGAAUUCCUGCCCUUCUCCUAGCCUGAUGGCCUUUCAUUAGCUUUACAAAGGCUCCCGAUAAAUGCUUUCUGGAAGGUGCCAGUGAAAGACAUUUGGAAUUUAACAGAGACAGCAACAGCAGGUUCGGGGCUUAUCUCGGGCUGCAUUGUAGAUCAAUCCUGGGCACAGUGGAAGGAACACUGUUACAAAAGAGCCAUUUCUAAGAAGGCUUCACUUCAAAGGAGAUCACCCACAGCAGAGGAGCUGAUGCAGAGCUGAAUAAAUAAUGAAAAAUACAAUAAAGAUCAAAUCUGAUAGGGAUUUGAAUUAUAUGCCAGGAAAAUAUUUU